This 972-nucleotide small RNA is filed under the name Vigna angularis var. angularis. RNAcentral describes it as "Non-protein coding transcript". The record is from RNAcentral. Lineage: Eukaryota; Viridiplantae; Streptophyta; Magnoliopsida; Fabales; Fabaceae.
AAAUGAUUCAACUUAAAAAUAUGGAAGAAAUGACUUGGCGAAUGGAUGCAGUUGAGUUGGUACUUCAAACGUCAUUAAACUCAUUUAACAGUUCUUUUACUUCCUCUGCUACUGCUGGUUGAGUGGCGUGUGUGGUUAGCGACAGUAGUAAACCUCCGUCAUCCCCACGAAGCUAAAGCAUGGAUACAUGAACACCUUCCACCAAAGCUUUAUCAAGUUGUUGCUUCAUAACUGUUUUCACCCCUAGUAGAAGAAGAGCCUUUCAACACAUGUUUUUUACCAUGAAUCUUGAAAUCUAUUGUCAAUUUGUUAAAAUUUCAAGUAAUGUCUCCCAAAGUAACUAACUACUCAAUUCCUAGGACGACAUCACAACUGCUGUUUUGAAUGUGAGCGGAAUUACAAUUCUUCAAAUCGCUAAGUAUACGUGUUGCUCCGGAGUUAUAAAUUGCCCAAGAUAUUAACUCCCCAAGCUACGGUGGUCAAUGGUGAAGAAUUACCAAGCACAUAUUGCCGCUGUCUUUUAACAACCGAAGUGAUAGCGUGGAGCUCACGAAAUGUAAGUGGACAAGUGAAGCAAUUAGAAAGCAAUCGGAUGAUUUGAUUGCAUCAUUACAUUGCCCAAACCCAUGCCGAAAGCGUCGGUCUCGACAAUCACAAUCAAUGGUAAGGUGAAAUUCUGCAAAUCAAAGACUUGAACUUUGGGUCCCCUUUCAAGAGCAUCUUUAUACAACAACGCAGUAAGGGGAGAAGCAAUCUUUGCAUAAUCGCGGAUGAAGCGACAGCAGAAUGUACCAGUUCAGUCGGCUAAGUUUUUGGUAUAUUAAUUUUUUUAAUACAUGUUAAAACAUCAGUGUCUAUUGAUAUAUUUUGAAGACUUACGAAGGACAACAUCUAAAACUCAACAAAAAUCUAAAUUCAGAAUUUACUAAGGCCAAAAAAUAAAAUCAACAUUUUGAGGGAACCUAUCGUAAC